AUGGACUCCGUCGACGAGUUCUUUUUCCACAAUUUCCUUUGUGACUCCGACGAUUUGUCGUCCGACGACGAGGAGAUAUUGGCUGCCGUGUUGGUCCAUCAUCACCUCAACAACCAGUGGCCGUUGUUCCGUGGCUUCAUUCCGGGCCACCUUCCGGCGUUGAAUCGCAACCGAGAGAGCGGGCAUUUCCUUCUCUGGAAGGACUACUUUAAUACAACAAACCCGUUGUUCAAACAUCACAAAUUCUACCGCCGGUUCCGUAUGAGUAGGCAUGUUUUCAACCGUAUUAGAGAGGGAGUGGUCGGCUAUGAUGACUACUUCGAGUGCAAAGAGGAUGCCGUCGGCAAAAUUGGUUUCUCCUCUUAUCAGAAAUGCACUGCCGCCAUCCGAAUGCUUGCAUACGGAGUGCCCGGUGAUCUCGUUGACGAGUACGUCCGUAUGAGCGAGUCUACAUGCCUAGAGUCCCUGUAUAAGUUCUGCAAGGCUGUGAUUGCCGUGUUUGACCUCGAGUACUUGAGAGAGCCGAUAACUGAAGAUACAGCCCGUUUUGUUGGCGAUGAAUGUCAGCAGGGGCUUCCCGGGGAUGCUUGGCAGCAUAGACUGCAUGCACUGGGAGUGGAAGAAUUGCCCUUCUGCUUGGCAAGGGCAGUAUAA
Molecule: ribosomal RNA, 654 nt
Filed under: Triticum aestivum (bread wheat)
Lineage: Eukaryota; Viridiplantae; Streptophyta; Magnoliopsida; Poales; Poaceae
Description: partial small subunit ribosomal RNA
Source: RNAcentral